GACGAACGCUGGCGGCGUGCUUAAUACAUGCAAGCCAAUUUGACUUUAGAUAGCAAUAUCGAAAGUAGGGUGGCGCACGGGUGCGUAACGCGUAGGUAAUCUGCCCUGAGGUCUGACAUAACCCGUCGAAAGGCGGGCUAACAUCAGAUGAUAUAUAAUCACGACAUCGUGGAAAUAUCAAAUCUUCGGAGCCUUGGGAUGAGCCUGCGUCUGAUUAGGUAGUUGGCGGAGUAAUAGCCCACCAAGCCUACGAUCAGUAGCUGGUCUGAGAGGAUGAUCAGCCACACUGGAACUGAGACACGGUCCAGACUCCUACGGGAGGCAGCAGUAAGGAAUAUUGCUCAAUGGGGGAAACCCUGAAGCAGCAACGCCGCGUGAAGGAUGAAAUACUUUUGUAUGUAAACUUCUGUAAGAUGGGAAAAUAUUCUCCUCGGGAGAAUUGAUUGUACCAUCAGAGUAAGCCCCGGCUAACUACGUGCCAGCAGCCG
This 488-nucleotide ribosomal RNA is filed under the name uncultured bacterium. RNAcentral's name for it is "bacterial SSU rRNA". It matches the Rfam family "Bacterial small subunit ribosomal RNA", at positions 28 to 517 of the family's 1533-position model. The record is from RNAcentral.